AUGGGCCCCGUCUUCUAUACUGCGCUUUCCCUGUACGUUGCUUCAAAUCCUUUUCAGAAAUUGCGUGAAGACACUGAGGCUGGAAAAGUGAAGUCUCGAUCAGGACAUCUCUAUGUAAUCUUGCUGGAAUCCGGCAUACACUUGAGACAGAAGAACAAUGUGAGGAAACUGAGCAAAAUGACUGAUAGUCCAGAAGGAAUAUUUUUCCUACCAUAUUAAUGUAACUGGAUGGGAAAUUCAACUAAUAAUGCAUCCCUGUUAUGCCCUGUUUUAAAAAGGUAGGUGCUUCAUCCCUCUUUACUGUUUGCCC
Molecule: RNA transcript, 310 nt
Organism: Odobenus rosmarus divergens (Pacific walrus)
Lineage: Eukaryota; Metazoa; Chordata; Mammalia; Carnivora; Odobenidae
Exons: 3
Source: RefSeq, a predicted model, not a curated record